UACGAAGGGGGCAAGCGUUGUUCGGAAUUACUGGGCGUAAAGCGCGCGCAGGCGGCUAUCCAAGUCAGUGGUGAAAGCCCGGAGCUCAACUCCGGAACUGCCAUUGAAACUGUUUAGCUUGAGGAUGAGAGAGGUGAGUGGAACUGCGAGUGUAGAGGUGAAAUUCGUAGAUAUUCGCAAGAACACCAGUGGCGAAGGCGGCUCACUGGCCCGAUACUGACGCUGAGGUGCGAAAGCGUGGGGAGCAAACAGG
RNAcentral lists this ribosomal RNA (253 nucleotides) under uncultured bacterium. Its description in RNAcentral is "partial 16S ribosomal RNA". It matches the Rfam family "Bacterial small subunit ribosomal RNA", at positions 524 to 776 of the family's 1533-position model. The record is from RNAcentral.